GACGAACGCUGGCGGCGCGCUUAACACAUGCAAGUCGAGCGAAUCGGCGGACGGGUGAGUAACCCGUGAGUAACCUGCCUUAGACAUUGGGAUAGCCUCGGGAAACCGGGAUUAAUACCAAAUGGUCUACGAUGUACUCGCGUCCCAUUAGCUAGUUGGUGAGGUAACGGCACACCAAGGCGACGAUGGGUAGCCGGCCUGAGAGGGUGAACGGCCACAUUGGAACUGAGCAACGGUCCAAACUCUACGGGAGGCAGCAGUGGGGAAUAUUGCACAAGGGAGGGAACUCUGAUGCAGCGACGCCGCGUGAACGAAGAAGUCUUUCGAGUCGUAAAGUUCUUUUAUAUGGGAAGCGGUACCAUAAGAAAAAGCCCCGGCUAACGACGUGCCAGCAGCCGCGGUAAUAC
RNAcentral lists this ribosomal RNA (407 nucleotides) under uncultured bacterium. RNAcentral describes it as "partial 16S ribosomal RNA". It matches the Rfam family "Bacterial small subunit ribosomal RNA", at positions 28 to 526 of the family's 1533-position model. The record is from RNAcentral.